Molecule: non-coding RNA, 920 nt
Organism: Ctenopharyngodon idella (grass carp)
Lineage: Eukaryota; Metazoa; Chordata; Actinopteri; Cypriniformes; Xenocyprididae
Source: the annotation of a RefSeq genome assembly
UUCAGCACAGACACAGCCAUGUCACACAAGUUGAGGAAUAUAUUUCUCUUCAUUCUAUUCAUUCUUGAGUGCAGAUCAGAGGACACAGUUGAUCAGCCAGACAAACAUGUGACUGAAGCUGAAGGAAGAUCAGUGACAUUACAGUGUAAAUAUAAAACAGAUUCACCACGAGAAGAUUUAUUCUGGUACAUCCAGAGAGCAAAUGACUUUCCUAAAUACAUCCUGAGAAGGGACAAGUUUGGAACUGGAGAAAAUGGCACUGAGUUCCAGGAGAGAUUUCACUCUGAACUUUCAUCAAAUUCAGUUCCUCUGAUGAUCAAGGAUCUGCGUGUGUCUGACUCUGCUGUGUACUACUGUGCUCUGAAGCCCACAGUCACAGGAAACACUGUAACACUGUACAAAAACCUGUUACAAUGAGAGACAAGAGAGAAAUGCAGAGACACAGAAAUUGACCAUGAGAAAAAAGCUGUAACUGCCAAUUGCAACAAUAUGUAUGUGAGAGAAAUAAUGGAAAUAGGUUGUUACCAAAAUCAAAAUGUAGACAAAUCAUUUAAUCAGCUCAUUGUAAAAAUGAUUACAAAAAAAUACUAAAAAUAAACAAAAUACUAAAUUGAGUGAAUCUUUGGCAAUAUAAAGAUGAAGCACAUUAAAACCCUUCAAUACUGUCUUACUGUCCUAUUGACAAAUCAAUUUAGAAUAUCCUGUAAUUCAAGAAAUUUGAGAAAAAAAAAAAAAAAAAACAUUAAAAUAACAAUAAUAAUGAUUCUCAUGUGUAAUAUAAAGCACAUACAUUCAUAUGGAGCUCUUUCUUGUUCUAAAUUAAGUCAAGUGAAAGUGACAGGUGAAGGCCAAAUAUGGUAAACCAUACUUAGAGUUUGUGCAUUUAACCCAUCCAAGUUAGUGCACACAAAUUAGGAGUA